This 620-nucleotide ribosomal RNA is filed under the name Brachybacterium sp. TRC8. RNAcentral's name for it is "bacterial SSU rRNA". It matches the Rfam family "Bacterial small subunit ribosomal RNA", at positions 30 to 663 of the family's 1533-position model. Lineage: Bacteria; Bacillati; Actinomycetota; Actinomycetes; Micrococcales; Dermabacteraceae. The record is from RNAcentral.
CGANNCGUGGAGGGGUGCUGCAACAUGCAAGUCGACGAUGACGGUGGUGCUUGCACCGCCUGAUUAGUGGCGAACGGGUGAGUAACACGUGAGUAACCUGCCCUCCACUUCGGGAUAACCUCGGGAAAUCGUGGCUAAUACCGGAUACGAGCACUCAUCGCAUGGUGGGUGUUGGAAAGAUUUAUCGGUGGGGGAUGGACUCGCGGCCUAUCAGUUUGUUGGUGAGGUGAUGGCUCACCAAGACGAUGACGGGUAGCCGGCCUGAGAGGGCGACCGGCCACACUGGGACUGAGACACGGCCCAGACUCCUACGGGAGGCAGCAGUGGGGAAUAUUGCACAAUGGGCGAAAGCCUGAUGCAGCGACGCCGCGUGGGGGAUGACGGCCUUCGGGUUGUAAACCCCUUUCAGUAGGGAAGAAGCGAGAGUGACGGUACCUGCAGAAGAAGCGCCGGCUAACUACGUGCCAGCAGCCGCGGUAAUACGUAGGGCGCAAGCGUUGUCCGGAAUUAUUGGGCGUAAAGAGCUUGUAGGUGGCUUGUCGCGUCUGCCGUGAAAACCCGAGGCUCAACCUCGGGCGUGCGGUGGGUACGGGCAGGCUAGAGUGUGGUAGGGGAGACUG